GAAACACUUUGUUUUGUUGAUAUCAAAUGUCACUUAUUGUGUUUCUGUGUUUGCAGAUAAAACUCUCAUUGUGCGACAUUUCCCGAGUAAACAAGAGCGGAAAACACCAGUCCACCUCCAACAGUGAUGACGUUAAAGUCCGUAAAAGCUGCUGGGAAAUGUCCGACUGCUGCUGCUGCUGCUGCUCGAUCCGUCCACUGUCCAGACGAGGCGGAGUUCACCCCGAAACAGCCUAUUGGACUGGACGGUCAUGAGAUAUAUACUGUCAAUGAUCAUGACUAGAGGGAACCUUACUUGUGUGUGAAGUUUCUGGCGAGAAGAAAAAGGGGGAUGUUGAACUAACGGUCACCAUGACAAAAAAAAAAAAAAAACACCCCAAAAAAAGCCCAUAUAACUGAAAUUCAACCAGAAUAACGCAUCAUAACCUAAUUGGUGCACUUCAUAAAACUACAAAGUUGGGUUGAAAUAAAGGUUUCUAUACUGAACUAGAUUGAAAACAAAGAAAAAAAGACAAAAAACUAAUGAAAACUAACUGAAAUGAUAUUGUAUACAAAUUAAACUGAAAUAAAAAUAUAUUAUCAACAAG
This is a long non-coding RNA of Dicentrarchus labrax (European seabass), 586 nucleotides long. RefSeq lists it as uncharacterized. NCBI's taxonomy places the organism in Eukaryota, Metazoa, Chordata, Actinopteri, Moronidae. The transcript has 2 exons. The record is from RefSeq and is a predicted model, not a curated record.